This is a non-coding RNA of Schizothecium vesticola, 84 nucleotides long. The record is from the annotation of a GenBank genome assembly. NCBI's taxonomy places the organism in Eukaryota, Fungi, Ascomycota, Sordariomycetes, Sordariales, Schizotheciaceae.
GGUUGUAUAGUGUAGUGGUUAUCACACUGGAUUUUGAUAUGUACUUGACUUCCAGUAACCCAGGUUCGAGCCCUGGUACGACCU